GUACCGUGAGGGAAAGAUGAAAAGAACUUUGAAAAGAGAGUUAAACAGUACGUGAAAUUGUUGAAAGGGAAACGAUUGAAGUCAGUCAUACCAACGGGAAAUCAACCUUUUGAGCUCGGUCUCGUGGGUUUUGAAGAGUUUCAAAGCCUUCGGAUUCGCGAGAUUGGGAUCUCUUGGCGUACUUUUUCGUACGGUUAGUCAACAUCGGUUUUGAAUGUCAUAAAAUGACUGGAGGAAUGUAGCUUCGAUCUCGUAUUGAAGUGUUAUAGCCUUUGGUAGAUGUGAUGUUUGAGACCGAGGAUUGCAACGGAUACCCUUCAGGGCUAUUCGUCUGAUCUCUGAUACGUUGCCUUGAUGUUGAAAGCUUGCUUAUGAUGUUAGGGUAUUACGGUCAAAAGGUUAGAACGAAUUACAUUCGUUAAGG
RNAcentral lists this ribosomal RNA (424 nucleotides) under Funneliformis mosseae. Its description in RNAcentral is "eukaryotic LSU rRNA". It matches the Rfam family "Eukaryotic large subunit ribosomal RNA", at positions 348 to 637 of the family's 3401-position model. Lineage: Eukaryota; Fungi; Glomeromycota; Glomeromycetes; Glomerales; Glomeraceae. The record is from RNAcentral.